UGGGCUUGGGCUGGUGACGCGUGCGCCGGCCGGCCGCCGAGGGGCUACCGUUCUGCCUCCGACCGGUCGUGUGUGGGUUUACUCGGAGGUGCUUUGCCUCUGAAGAAAAGAGAGAAAGCCUUCUCUAGCGAUCCAAGAUAGUGCAGAAACAGAAAGUCAAGCAAAAACUCAAACUAUGUAACUUUAAAUUGGAUAUGUGCUAAUGAAGGAAAAUGUGGCACUGUAAGAAAAAAUAAUAGGGAGUUAAAGGAUAAAUAGGAGUUUGCUGGAUGAAAUUUAUGAAGAGCUGAAGAUUUCAAACAAAAGAAACUGAUGCAGGAGGGUGCAGCUUUGGAGUCAAGAAUGAAGUUCUAGGAGAUAGAGAGCAAAGAAAUGGUGGGAGAGGAGGUCAAGAAAUACUAGGCUUUAGAAUUUCACCAUAUGAAUUUUGGGAGAGAGGAGCACAGUUCAGCCCAUAACUAACACACGUGAUGAAGAAGACAUGCCAACAGAGGGUUAAUUCCAGAUAAAAUGAAAUGUUCCAAACGACGGAAUGAAGUUGAUAAUAGUGAGACCUUGUUGGUACAAGACUAUGUAACAUAACCUGCGCUUCUCAACAAAGAAUUGCUUUUCUGACUUCUGCACUCGAUAGCAAGACAAAUCUCUCCUCUGCCUUCUCCUUAUCAGACUACUCAACAUGAAGGCAAUAAGAAUGAAGACCUCUAUGUAUAAUAAUUGACUUCCACUUAAUAAAUGAGGUUACUUGGUACACUGGUCGACAAAACCUUGAAAUGUUGAUGUUUAAGGGCUGUUGAUUGCUGGCAGCAAAGAAGUCCAACUGUGCUGGUACCCGAGAUAGCGUCUCCACAUUUUCUUCCAGGAUCAUCACCUUUGUUCUAAAUAGCUCCCACAUAGUGUGAACAGAAGUCAUAUGUUUUAGAUUUUCUGCCUUGGCACCCAGGAAACCAGUAUGAUUGAGUAAACAUAUUAAACUUCCUCUGCAUUUCCAGCCUGAACAGAUGUUGAGUACAAGCUGAUCCACCUACGUUCAACCUGAGAGAGUCCACAUCCACAGACUGUUUCAUUUCCCUUUUUCAAUUUACAUAGAAGCAUAGAUUCUUGCUGGCAUAUACAAAUGCGCCAUUUAAGGCAAUCAAAAAUGGUUCCACAUCUCAUCUGAUUUCCACAAUUGUUGCUGUAACGAUGGACUACUGAGGAGAGAGACAAUUUCUCUGGCACAUCUUCCCACAUUUUAGCAACAUGUUCAUGGAGAGCCAAUAUUCAGUAAUUACAGCCCAAUUCCUCACAAUUUCACAAUUCGCUAACAAUAUGCAUUUUCACAAUGUAAAGCUGAUUUUCCUUUAACCAAAUCAAACAUGAAAAGAUAGCUGCAUGCAAUGGGCAAUCUAGAUCAUUAGAAGAUUGAUGUAAAAUUAGAGGACACUGAGACUGGAAUAGAUUGCAAACUUCAGGGAGCUCAGAAAACUUGUAAACUCUACAUUUUGAGGAAAUAUGUUGUCGAUGCUUUUGCAACUCUAUGCAGUAACUUAACAAAUAAAGCCUUAAAGUAACUU
RNAcentral lists this long non-coding RNA (1553 nucleotides) under Homo sapiens (human). Its description in RNAcentral is "HSALNT0266119". The record is from RNAcentral. Lineage: Eukaryota; Metazoa; Chordata; Mammalia; Primates; Hominidae.